GACUCCGUGGAGCAACGGUAGCGCGUCUGACUCCAGAUCAGAAGGUUGAAUGUUCAAAUCACGUCAGGGUCA
Molecule: non-coding RNA, 72 nt
Organism: Taenia asiatica
Lineage: Eukaryota; Metazoa; Platyhelminthes; Cestoda; Cyclophyllidea; Taeniidae
Source: Rfam